Molecule: ribosomal RNA, 256 nt
Filed under: uncultured bacterium
Lineage: Bacteria
Description: partial 16S ribosomal RNA
Rfam family: Bacterial small subunit ribosomal RNA
Source: RNAcentral
GUCCACGCCUAACGAUGUCAACUAGGUGUUGGGAAGCGAUUUCUCAGUACCGCAGCUAACGCGUGAAGUUGACCGCCUGGGGAGUACGGUCGCAAGAUUAAACUCAAGGAAUUGACGGGACCCGCACAAGCGGUGGAUGAUGUGGAUUAAUUCGAUGCAACGCGAAACCUUACCUACCCUUGACAUGUACGGAAGCCUUCAGAAAUGAGGGUGUGCUCGAAAGAGAGCCGUAACACAGGUGCUGCAUGGCUGUCGU